AGUCGCGUGGUCUAAUGGUUAUGAUUUCUCGUUCACAUCGCAAGAAGUGUUAGCUGGCUUAGCGCCGAGAAGGCUCCCGGUUCGAUCCCGGGCGCGACUA
RNAcentral lists this transfer RNA (100 nucleotides) under Aspergillus brunneoviolaceus CBS 621.78. RNAcentral describes it as "tRNA-Val". Lineage: Eukaryota; Fungi; Ascomycota; Eurotiomycetes; Eurotiales; Aspergillaceae. The record is from RNAcentral.